This 368-nucleotide ribosomal RNA is filed under the name uncultured bacterium. RNAcentral describes it as "bacterial SSU rRNA". It matches the Rfam family "Bacterial small subunit ribosomal RNA", at positions 1 to 334 of the family's 1533-position model. The record is from RNAcentral.
CUAGCGACUUCAGAGUUUGAUCCGUGGCUCAGGACGAACGCUGGCGGCGUGCCUAACACAUGCAAGUCGAGCGGGGACAUACGACGGAUAGGAAGUUUUCGGAUGGAAUUGAAGAUGUAUAGUUCUAGCGGCGGACGGGUGAGUAACGCGUGAGCAACCUGUCCCUUACAGGGGGAUAACACAGCGAAAGUUGUACUAAUACCGCAUAAGACCACGGGGAGACAUCUUCCAGGGGUCAAAGGAGCAAUCCGGUAAGGGGUGGGCUCGCGUCCGAUUAGAUAGUUGGUGAGGUAACGGCCCACCAAGUCGACGAUCGGUAGCCGACCUGAGAGGGUGAUCGGCCACAUUGGGACUGAGACACGGCCCAA